UACGUAGGGUGCAAGCGUUAAUCGGAAUUACUGGGCGUAAAGCGUGCGCAGGCGGUGCUGUAAGACAGAUGUGAAAUCCCCGGGCUCAACCUGGGAACUGCAUUUGUGACUGCAUCGCUGGAGUGCGGCAGAGGGGGAUGGAAUUCCGCGUGUAGCAGUGAAAUGCGUAGAUAUGCGGAGGAACACCGAUGGCGAAGGCAAUCCCCUGGGCCUGCACUGACGCUCAUGCACGAAAGCGUGGGGAGCAAACAGG
Molecule: ribosomal RNA, 253 nt
Filed under: uncultured bacterium
Lineage: Bacteria
Description: partial 16S ribosomal RNA
Rfam family: Bacterial small subunit ribosomal RNA
Source: RNAcentral